GCAGUUGCUUCAUGUGUAAGAACGCUGUCCCACAGAGGCUGGGGCCAUGGCUGCCACAUUCACUCUUUCAUCCCCAGAGUCCACAGCAGAUGAGACAAUCAACUUUCAUUGAAUGGACUACUGAGGGGCUUGGUAAUGGAACUGAAGAAAUCUGAAUGAAUUGUCUGAUGCAUCGUGACUAAGCUUGGAAUGUGCCAACUGUCCCCCAGGAGUGGCCCUUGGACAGCAGAGCUGGAGCGCCGGGACUCUGAGUGCAGGAAGGAGGCCGUGCUCCAGGAGAGCCAUUGACAGAGCUGCUCUGGAGUUCUGGAAGUGCUUGGAGGGUGUGGGCGUUGUCACAUGAAUCUGUGGCACCAGCCUGUUGGCUUUCUGGUGAAGGGGUGGUGGCACAGUCUGCUGUCGUGCCUCUGGUGGUCCA
This 418-nucleotide long non-coding RNA is filed under the name Homo sapiens (human). RNAcentral's name for it is "HSALNT0359995". Lineage: Eukaryota; Metazoa; Chordata; Mammalia; Primates; Hominidae. The record is from RNAcentral.